This 436-nucleotide long non-coding RNA is filed under the name Bos taurus (domestic cattle). RNAcentral's name for it is "long non-coding RNA NONBTAT001587". Lineage: Eukaryota; Metazoa; Chordata; Mammalia; Artiodactyla; Bovidae. The record is from RNAcentral.
UUUUGCAGGGUCAGAAGGGAGAGAGUUAUUGGGGGACCUUUUUGGCUCCCCUGAAAUCACAUUAAGUAUUCAGUGGCCACUUGCUUAAUCAACAGUAGGGAUGGCUGCAUGUGGAGACAGGCCUGUCAUUAUUCCUGGCUCUAUUAACAUGAACAGCUGAAAGAAUAUGACGCAAAAAUCCCCUUACAUAGAACCCCCCACUGAAAAAACAACCAACUUAACUAUGUGCUCAUAUUUAUUUAAAUCUCUGAACAGAGCUGUUCUCUGCUGAGUUAUAAUGAGGAGUGAGUUUUCCGAGGGUGUGAUUUAUGAGCCUCUCGCAGAUGGGUUUUAAAUGAGGGGACUGACAGUUCCACUCCAGCUAUGGUAGGGCUGGGGUCUUUCAGGCCCAGAGGAGCCGAAAUGAGCUGGUGGGAGGCAAGGGGGGUGGUGCGUG